CCUACGGGUGGCAGCAGUAGGGAAUAUUGCUCAAUGGGCGAAACCCUGAACCAGCCACGCCGCGUGGAGGAUGAUGGUUUUCGGAUUUUAAACUCCUUUUGUUAGAGAAGAUUAUGACUGUAUCUUGCGCAUAAGCACCUGCUAACUAAGUACCAGCCGCCUCUCUAAUAGGGAGGGUGCACGCGUUACUCGGAAGAACUGGGCGUAAAGAGCGCGUUGGCGGGAUAGCAAGUCAGAUGGGAAAUCCUAUGGCUUAAUCAUAGAACUGCAUUUGACACUGUUAUUCUGGAGUAUGUGAGGGGUAGGUGGAAUUCGUGGUGUAGGGGUAAAAGCCGUAGAGAUCA
RNAcentral lists this ribosomal RNA (344 nucleotides) under uncultured bacterium. RNAcentral describes it as "partial 16S ribosomal RNA". It matches the Rfam family "Bacterial small subunit ribosomal RNA", at positions 338 to 699 of the family's 1533-position model. The record is from RNAcentral.